AUGUCACAAGGAGGUGAUGAUGACAUGGCUAUAAGUGGUGAAGAUCCUAUGGCUGAUUGGGACCAACAUGUCACCCUCACUGCUCGAUCAACAAAUUUGGAUUCUACUGAACUUGAUUCGUACUUGUCAAAGGUACCCAUCCGUCGAAGUGAUCAAUUCAAUAUCCUUGCAUGGUGGCAGACGAACUCAGGUGAAUACCCAACGCUGAGUCGCAUGGCAGUAGAUAUCUUGGCGGCUCCUGCCUCUGCGGUGGCAUCCGAGUCCGCCUUCAGCACAGGGGAGAGAGUCCUAUCAGAUUUUCGAAGUCGAAUGACCGCAACGACACUUGAAGCUCUUGUUUGCUUACAAGAUUGGAUAAGGGCCACCGCUAAUACUCAACGUAGCUUGGCUUCAGUUCAUGACAUUUUACUAGACUUACAAGAUAUCGAGGACUGA
RNAcentral lists this ribosomal RNA (435 nucleotides) under Triticum aestivum (bread wheat). Its description in RNAcentral is "partial small subunit ribosomal RNA". Lineage: Eukaryota; Viridiplantae; Streptophyta; Magnoliopsida; Poales; Poaceae. The record is from RNAcentral.